RNAcentral lists this ribosomal RNA (42 nucleotides) under Cercospora lagenariae. RNAcentral's name for it is "partial 28S ribosomal RNA". Lineage: Eukaryota; Fungi; Ascomycota; Dothideomycetes; Mycosphaerellales; Mycosphaerellaceae. The record is from RNAcentral.
GGGAUACCCGCUGAACUUAAGCAUAUCAAUAAGACGGAGGAA